Non-coding RNA from Paramuricea clavata, 1828 nucleotides. The record is from the annotation of a GenBank genome assembly. NCBI's taxonomy places the organism in Eukaryota, Metazoa, Cnidaria, Anthozoa, Malacalcyonacea, Plexauridae.
CUGAGUCCCAUUCCACUACACCACUGCUUUCAGUUUCUCUUUGGCAGCAAUCUCAUGACAGAAGAAAUAAUGAAUGGUCCUUAUAUUCCAUAAGAAAUGUCAAGCAUGUGGUUUGCAAGGAAGAUCGAGGAUUACUUAGCGUAUUUUAACACUAUAAGAACGUGAUAAUUUUUGAGAUUACGCCUUGCAUGGAAUGCGAUUGCUAUCUUUGCGUUAGUUGCGCCGUGUGUUAACAUUGACAAACGACUUAGGGAAGGACAAACAGCUUACAGGAAUCCCAUGAAAUGCCAAUACUGUCACUAAUACUCACUAUAAAUAACAUUAAUAAGACUUCUUAACUUGGAAUAUAUAACACUUCAUUACAUAGUGCUAUCGCAGUAAAUUUGGUUGUUCUUGCAUAUAAGUUCCUCGUAGGAGAUACAGAUUAUACUGAUACAAAAUAGGUUUAGACAACCAGUCCAGGGAGGGCCUCUAAUUAAGCUCUGAACAAAAAGUUGAUUGGAUUCCAUUGGACUAAUUAAAGAUAUUAAGUAUAGCAAAUAGAGGGAGAUUAUAGAGAUAACCUUAUCAUUUGAUCCUCACGUGGUGAAUUUUGCAUUAACUGUUUCCAAUUAUGCUAUCUAAAUGUGGAUAUACCAAGAUUAACAUUCCCUUUUAAGAUUGAAAUCAGUAAAAACUUUUUAAGCCUUUUAACAACUAGAUAUGAAAAUGUUAUUCGCAGUUGACCGGCCUCACCGUAGUCACCGAAAUCAAAACUUCAGCAAUUCGUUCGUACGUGAAAAUGCAUUAAAUGCACCUGACAAUCAAUAUUCUCCCAACUAAUUAAGUUAAACACGAUUUUUGCAUGUCUGCACAUUGUCUCAACUUUUACACUGUCUUUACGUCAAUGAGUCCCGUAAGCUAUGAAUUUGUGAACAAUGGUUUUUAGUAUUAAGAUUAUGACGUCGGUAUAAUGAAAAUUUAUCCCAAUUCUAUAAAUUGGAUCGGAUUUUUGGGUCUAACAUUAAAAUAUUUUUCAAAACGGUAACACUUCAACACCUUCUGAAAUUGGGCAGCAAGUGUACGUAUUUCCAGUCUUACAGAAGACUUCAAGUUUUAUAGACACUGCCGGAAGACAUAGGACUGUUUUUUGGUACAAAUUUACUAUGACUGCACAAAGUUCUUACUAUAUCCUUUUUAAACUGCUAUAGCAGGGUGGACAAUAGCCCCCUUCGAUUCUGCCCCUGGAAAAAUAGGCCCAAAUUUUCAAAAAUGUUCCCCUGGACUACCCAUCCCCGGCAUAAAAUCAGAGGCAAAAAAUCAAUCUGACUUUCUAAGAUCCAUAUUUAAAGUCUAUAAUAUUAAAACUUAUCCAUGCAUUUAAAGUUAGAAACAUACAUUCCCUCUUCAAUGUCUUCCAUAUAUCUCGCGCAUUUGGCAAGCCUGGACACUCCGAAUUUUUCCUACUGUAUUUGCAUGGAAGAAAACAUUUUUCAUUUGCUCCCCUCCCCCUCCGUUUUCUCACGCACACUGACAUACAAAAGGUUGAAUUUGUUUGAUUUGAUUUUCAAUGUUUGCUAAACUGUUUGUCAGGUCAAAUCCUUAACAAUUGGAAACAAAUAUUAAAGAUUGACGGCCAAUUUAUUUAAUUUUUCCAGAAGGAACAUUUCAUGAUAGCUCUUAAAGUUUAAACUGAAGUGUUUGUGCGUAUUCGUCAGUACAAUGGGUCUCAAGAGAACGAUUCUAAUAUACACCCAAUAUUGCUAUAGAUAAUUUCAGCUUAUUGAACAAUACUAGUGUGAACCAUUGUAUGCGUAAGAAUACACUGCGAUUAUAGUUACAAUGUGAC